CAGCCGCCACGGGAAUACCGAGGGUGCAAGCGUUAAUCGGAAUUACUGGGCGUAAAGCGCGCGUAGGUGGUUUGUUAAGUUGGAUGUGAAAGCCCCGGGCUCAACCUGGGAACUGCAUCCAAAACUGGCAAGCUAGAGUACGGUAGAGGGUGGUGGAAUUUCCUGUGUAGCGGUGAAAUGCGUAGAUAUAGGAAGGAACACCAGUGGCGAAGGCGACCACCUGGACUGAUACUGACACUGAGGUGCGAAAGCGUGGGGAGCAAACAGGAUUAGAUACCCGAGUAGUCCCUGUCUCUUAUAC
This 301-nucleotide ribosomal RNA is filed under the name uncultured bacterium. RNAcentral describes it as "partial 16S ribosomal RNA". It matches the Rfam family "Bacterial small subunit ribosomal RNA", at positions 509 to 807 of the family's 1533-position model. The record is from RNAcentral.